UACGAAGGGUGCAAGCGUUACUCGGAAUUACUGGGCGUAAAGCGUGCGUAGGUGGUGAGUUAAGUCUGUCGUGAAAGCCCCGGGCUCAACCUGGGAAUGGCGAUGGAUACUGGCUCGCUAGAGUGCGGUAGAGGAGAGUGGAAUUCCCGGUGUAGCAGUGAAAUGCGUAGAGAUCGGGAGGAACAGCAGUUGCGAAGGCGGCUCUCUGGACCAGCACUGACACUGAGGCACGAAAGCGUGGGGAGCAAACAGG
RNAcentral lists this ribosomal RNA (253 nucleotides) under uncultured bacterium. Its description in RNAcentral is "partial 16S ribosomal RNA". It matches the Rfam family "Bacterial small subunit ribosomal RNA", at positions 524 to 776 of the family's 1533-position model. The record is from RNAcentral.